UGGGGAAUUUUGGACAAUGGGCGCAAGCCUGAUCCAGCCAUGCCGCGUGUCUGAAGAAGGCCUUCGGGUUGUAAAGGACUUUUGUCAGGGAAGAAAAGGCUGUCGCUAAUACCGACAGUUGAUGACGGUACCUGAAGAAUAAGCACCGGCUAACUACGUGCCAGCAGCCGCGGUAAUACGUAGGGUGCGAGCGUUAAUCGGAAUUACUGGGCGUAAAGCGAGCGCAGACGGUUACUUAAGCAGGAUGUGAAAUCCCCGGGCUCAACCUGGGAACUGCGUUCUGAACUGGGUGACUAGAGUGUGUCAGAGGGAGGUAGAAUUCCACGUGUAGCAGUGAAAUGCGUAGAGAUGUGGAGGAAUACCGAUGGCGAAGGCAGCCUCCUGGGAUAACACUGACGUUCAUGCUCGAAAGCGUGGGUAGCAAACA
Molecule: ribosomal RNA, 427 nt
Filed under: uncultured Neisseria sp.
Lineage: Bacteria; Pseudomonadati; Pseudomonadota; Betaproteobacteria; Neisseriales; Neisseriaceae
Description: bacterial SSU rRNA
Rfam family: Bacterial small subunit ribosomal RNA
Source: RNAcentral